GGAUAUGGUGGGGUGGAGGGUGGUGUUAGGCAGCUAAAGCUCAGCAUAUUCCCACAGGAAGAGUGUUUAUGUGGGAAAGGAGGCAUGGCUGGGUGUUGAUGGAGGGGAAUUACUGUUCCAACCUCCUACCUUCUCACUGGUUCCAGGACAGGGCCCAGCUCUGUUCAUGAGAACAAUUCUAGGGAUACUCAAGUAGCUAAGCACUGGCAGCAUUCUGGGUACAUCCUAAUACCAGUUGGUGGGACCCUGGCCCCAGAUAGGGCAGUGUGAGAUAGUUUUGCACACUCUUUGAACAGCUAACAAAUAGCUCAGGGCCAAUUUUUUGCUGGGUAUAACUCAGCUACUAAAACUUUCCUGUUUCCUGACUUUUAAAUAGUAAUUUGCAGAGGAAUAAGUAGGGAUACACACAAGCAAAAAGAGCAUCUGAUGAGGUUGCCACGAAAAUAUGCAGUCUUAUGUUCAUACAGUGUAGCCUAGGCAUCAUCUUUGUUGGUUCUGUUAGUUGAAUUGUUACAUUUGAACUUAGUAUUGAAAUGUUUCACAAAUAUCAUAAAGCUCAGCAGGCCCAAUAAAUACCAGAGGAGAAGGUGUGGAAUGCACCAACAUGAAGGGAUGUUUUAUUAGGAUUUUAAAAAAUUAAGUUAACUCAGAAAAAAAUUAAAAGUGGAUUUUUUGGCAUGACAGAUACUUCAUGUGCUUAUGGAAAUGAACCAUUGGACUGUUGCAAUGAUUCUGGAGGUCAGAGAUAAUUGCGCAACUUGCAAAACAUAAUAUAGCAGCAAUGACCAAGAAAAGUUAUGAAUAAGAAAAGGACCAAAUGGACCUCAGGAGAUGGGUGGGAGUUUUUGCAGGACUCAGCAAAAUGGAAUGGCUACAGAAACAGUAUUGUAUGAGCCCACCGUAGUACAUUGGUUUAAAGCCAGUGUGAAUGGAAGAGUUCACCUACUACAUUUCUGGUAUGUUCAGUAUGUUUACAGUGUGUACAAACUGCUGUACUUCAUAAAAAGAAUGUGCAGGCUAUAUCAUUUAAAAGAAUAGUGCUCAACAUUUUUCUACGAAGACACAAAUCAAAUUCAUCUGCACAGUCUCUCUUGCA
Rhinopithecus bieti (black snub-nosed monkey) is the source of this 1096-nucleotide long non-coding RNA. The record is from Ensembl. Lineage: Eukaryota; Metazoa; Chordata; Mammalia; Primates; Cercopithecidae.